UCAAGUAAUUAAGUGCAUGUGGUGGAUGCCUUGGCAGUCAGAGGCGAUGAAAGACGUGAUAGCCUGCGAAAAGCUCCGGGGAGGCGGCAAAUAUCCUUUGAUCCGGAGAUGUCUGAAUGGGGGAACCCACCUACUUUAAGGUAGGUAUUGCAACAUGAAUACAUAGUGUUGCAAGGCGAACGAGGGGAAGUGAAACAUCUCAGUACCCUUAGGAAAAGAAAUCAAUUGAGAUUCCCUCAGUAGCGGCGAGCGAACGGGGAUCAGCCCAUUAAGUUAUGUGUGUUUUAGUGGAACGCUCUGGGAAGUGCGAACGUAGAGGGUGAUAUUCCCGUACACGAAAGGGCACAUAAUGAUGACGAGUAGGGCGAGGCACGUGAAACCUUGUCUGAAUAUGGGGACCAUCCUCCAAGGCUAAAUACUCCUGACUGACCGAUAGUGAACCAGUACCGUGAGGGAAAGGCGAAAAGAACCCUGUGAGGGAGUGAAAUAGAUCCUGAAACCGCAUGCAUACAAGCAGUGGGAGCACCUUCGUGGUGUGACUGCGUACCUUUUGUAUAAUGGGUCAGCGACUUAUAUUCAGUAGCGAGGUUAACCGUAUAGGGAGCCGUAGAGAAAUCGAGUCUUAAUAGGGCGUUUAGUUGCUGGGUAUAGACCCGAAACCAGGCGAUCUAUCCAUGAGCAGGUUGAAGGUUGGGUAACACUAACUGGAGGACCGAACCCACUGUCGUUGAAAAGCCAGGGAUGACUUGUGGAUAGGGUGAAAGGCUAAUCAAGCCUGGUGAUAGCUGGUUCUCCCCGAAAGCUAUUUAGGUAGCGCCUCGGACGAAUACCAUAGGGGGUAGAGCACUGUUUCGGCUAGGGGGUCAUCCCGACUUACCAAACCGAUGCAAACUCCGAAUACCUAUGAGUACUAUCCGGGAGACAGACUGCGGGUGCUAACGUCCGUAGUCAAGAGGAAAACAAUCCAGACCGCCAGCUAAGGCCCCAAAAUCAUAGUUAAGUGGGAAACGAUGUGGGAAGGCAUAGACAGCUAGGAGGUUGGCUUAGAAGCAGCCACCCUUUAAAGAAAGCGUAAUAGCUCACUAGUCGAGUCGGCCUGCGCGGAAGAUGUAACGGGCUAAAACUAUGUGCCGAAGCUGCGGAUGUAUACUUUGUAUACGUGGUAGGGGAGCGUUCUGUAAGCCGAUGAAGGUGUGUUGAGAAGCAUGCUGGAGGUAUCAGAAGUGCGAAUGCUGACGUGAGUAACGACAAAACGGGUGAAAAAACCCGUUCGCCGAAAGACCAAGGGUUCCAGUCCAACGUUAAUCGGGGCUGGGUGAGUCGACCCCCUAAGGCGAGGCCGAAAGGCGUAGUCGAUGGGAAAAUGGUUAAUAUUCCAUUACUUCUGUGUAAUGCGAUGAGAGGACGGAGAAGGCUAAAUCAGCCUGGCGUUGGUUGUCCAGGUGAAAGGAUGUAGGCAUGUAUCUUAGGCAAAUCCGGGGUACUCUAUGCUGAGAUCUGAUAGCAAGCUGUACUUGUACAGCGAAGUGGUUGAUGCCAUGCUUCCAGGAAAAGUCUCUAAGCUUCAGUUACACAGGAAUCGUACCCGAAACCGACACAGGUGGUCAGGUCGAGUAGACCAAGGCGCUUGAGAGAACUCUGCUGAAGGAACUAGGCAAAAUGGUACCGUAACUUCGGGAGAAGGUACGCUGUUGUUGGUGAUGGAACUCGCUUCCUGAGCUGACGACAGCCGCAGAAACCAGGCCGCUGCAACUGUUUAUUAAAAACAUAGCACUCUGCAAACACGAAAGUGGACGUAUAGGGUGUGAUGCCUGCCCGGUGCUGGAAGGUUAAUUGAUGGGGUUAGCGUAAGCGAAGCUCUUGAUCGAAGCCCCAGUAAACGGCGGCCGUAACUAUAACGGUCCUAAGGUAGCGAAAUUCCUUGUCGGGUAAGUUCCGACCUGCACGAAUGGCAUAAUGAUGGCGGCGCUGUCUCCAGCAGAGGCUCAGUGAAAUCGAAAUCGCUGUGAAGAUGCAGUGUACCCGCGGCUAGACGGAAAGACCCCGUGAACCUUUACUGCAGCUUGACACUGAACUUUGACCUUACUUGUGUAGGAUAGGUGGGAGGCUUUGAAGCUGGAACGCUAGUUCCAGUGGAGCCGUCCUUGAAAUACCACCCUGGUAAUGUUGAGGUUCUAACUCUGUCCCGUGAUCCGGGACGAGGACCGUGUCUGGUGGGUAGUUUGACUGGGGCGGUCUCCUCCUAAAGAGUAACGGAGGAGUACGAAGGUGCGCUCAGCGUGGUCGGAAAUCACGCGUAGAGUAUAAAGGCAAAAGCGCGCUUAACUGCGAGACCCACAAGUCGAGCAGGUACGAAAGUAGGUCUUAGUGAUCCGGUGGUUCUGUAUGGAAGGGCCAUCGCUCAACGGAUAAAAGGUACUCUGGGGAUAACAGGCUGAUACCGCCCAAGAGUUCAUAUCGACGGCGGUGUUUGGCACCUCGAUGUCGGCUCAUCUCAUCCUGGGGCUGAAGCAGGUCCCAAGGGUAUGGCUGUUCGCCAUUUAAAGAGGUACGCGAGCUGGGUUUAGAACGUCGUGAGACAGUUCGGUCCCUAUCUACCGUGGGCGCUGGAAAUUUGAGAGGAUCUGCUCCUAGUACGAGAGGACCAGAGUGGACGAACCUCUGGUGUACCGGUUGUGACGCCAGUCGCAUCGCCGGGUAGCUAUGUUCGGAAGGGAUAACCGCUGAAAGCAUCUAAGCGGGAAGCCUACCUCAAGAUAAGAUUUCCCUAGGACUUUAUGUCCUCUAAAGAGCCGUUCGAGACUAGGGCGUUGAUAGGUUGGAUGUGGAAGCAUAGUGAUAUGUGAAGCUGACCAAUACUAAUUGCUCGUGAGGCUUGACUA
Molecule: ribosomal RNA, 2882 nt
Filed under: Acinetobacter baumannii
Lineage: Bacteria; Pseudomonadati; Pseudomonadota; Gammaproteobacteria; Moraxellales; Moraxellaceae
Description: bacterial LSU rRNA
Rfam family: Bacterial large subunit ribosomal RNA
Source: RNAcentral